UACGUAGGGUGCGAGCGUUAAUCGGAAUUACUGGGCGUAAAGCGUGCGCAGGCGGUCUCGUAAGCUGGGUGUGAAAGCCCCAGGCUUAACCUAGGAAUGGCAUUCAGGACUGCGAGGCUCGAGUGUGGCAGAGGGAGGUGGAAUUCCACGUGUAGCAGUGAAAUGCGUAGAGAUGUGGAGGAACACCGAUGGCGAAGGCAGCCUCCUGGGCCAGCACUGACGCUCAAGCACGAAAGCGUGGGGAGCAAACAGG
Molecule: ribosomal RNA, 253 nt
Filed under: uncultured bacterium
Lineage: Bacteria
Description: partial 16S ribosomal RNA
Rfam family: Bacterial small subunit ribosomal RNA
Source: RNAcentral